CAGCUCUCCGAGUGGUGUGGAUGUUUAUUGGGCCUAAAGCAUCCGUAGCUGGCUGAGCAAGUCCCCUGUUAAAUCCACCGAUUUAAUCGUUGGUGUGCGGGGGAUACUGCUCGGCUAGGGGACGGGAGAGGCAGACGGUAUUUCCGGGGUAGGGGUGAAAUCCUAUAAUCCCGGGAGGACCACCAGUGGCGAAGGCUGUCUGCUAGAACGCGCCCGACGGUGAGGGAUGAAAGCUGGGGGAGCGAACCGGAUUAGAUACCCGAGUAGUCC
RNAcentral lists this ribosomal RNA (270 nucleotides) under uncultured archaeon. RNAcentral describes it as "partial 16S ribosomal RNA". It matches the Rfam family "Archaeal small subunit ribosomal RNA", at positions 477 to 747 of the family's 1478-position model. The record is from RNAcentral.